UAAGGAAUAUUGCUCAACGGGAGAAAUCCUGAAGCAGCAACGCCGCGUGGAGGAUGAAGGGUCUAUGACUUGUAAACUCCUGUAAAGAAGGAAAAAAUUCCCAUUAGAUGGGAGAUGAUGGUACUUCUGGAGUAAGCCCCGGCUAACUACGUGCCAGCAGCCGCGGUAAUACGUAGGGGGCAAGCGUUGUCCGGAAUUACUGGGUGUAAAGGGUGCGUAGGUGGUUUGAUAAGUCAGCGGUGAAAGUUUGCAGCUUAACUGUAAAAAUGCCGUUGAAACUGUCGGACUUGAGUGUAAAUGAGGUAGGCGGAAUGCGUGGUGUAGCGGUGAAAUGCAUAGAUAUCACGAAGAACUCCUAUUGCGAAGGCAGCUUACUAAGCUACAACUGACACUGAAGCACGAAAGCGUGGGGA
RNAcentral lists this ribosomal RNA (413 nucleotides) under uncultured bacterium. RNAcentral's name for it is "bacterial SSU rRNA". It matches the Rfam family "Bacterial small subunit ribosomal RNA", at positions 355 to 767 of the family's 1533-position model. The record is from RNAcentral.